UACAGAGGUGGCAAGCGUUGUUCGGAAUUACUGGGCGUAAAGGGCUCGUAGGCGGCCAACUAAGUCGGACGUGAAAUCCCUCAGCUUAACUGGGGAACUGCGUCCGAUACUGGAUGGCUUGGAUUUGGGAGAGGGAUGCGGAAUUCCAGGUGUAGCGGUGAAAUGCGUAGAUAUCUGGAGGAACACCGGUGGCGAAGGCGGCAUCCUGGACCGACACUGACACUGAGGAGCGAAAGCCAGGGGAGCAAACGGG
Molecule: ribosomal RNA, 253 nt
Filed under: uncultured bacterium
Lineage: Bacteria
Description: partial 16S ribosomal RNA
Rfam family: Bacterial small subunit ribosomal RNA
Source: RNAcentral